This 468-nucleotide ribosomal RNA is filed under the name uncultured Limnobacter sp. RNAcentral's name for it is "bacterial SSU rRNA". It matches the Rfam family "Bacterial small subunit ribosomal RNA", at positions 908 to 1382 of the family's 1533-position model. Lineage: Bacteria; Pseudomonadati; Pseudomonadota; Betaproteobacteria; Burkholderiales; Burkholderiaceae. The record is from RNAcentral.
AAAUUGACGGGGACCCGCACAAGCGGUGGAUGAUGUGGAUUAAUUCGAUGCAACGCGAAGAACCUUACUACCCUUGACAUGUCGGAACUUGCCAGAGAUGGCUUGGUGCCCGAAAGGGAAUCGGAACACAGGUGCUGCAUGGCUGUCGUCAGCUCGUGUCGUGAGAUGUUGGUUAAGUCCCGCAACGAGCGCAACCCUUAUCAUUAGUUGCUACGCAAGGGCACUCUAAUGAGACUGCCGGUGACAAACCGGAGGAAGGUGGGGAUGACGUCAAGUCCUCAUGGCCCUUAUGGGUAGGGCUUCACACGUCAUACAAUGGUCGGUACAGAGGGUUGCCAAGCCGCGAGGCGGAGCCAAUCCCACAAAGCCGAUCGUAGUCCGGAUCGCAGUCUGCAACUCGACUGCGUGAAGUCGGAAUCGCUAGUAAUCGUGGAUCAGAAUGUCACGGUGAAUACGUUCCCGGGUCUU